Molecule: ribosomal RNA, 407 nt
Filed under: uncultured bacterium
Lineage: Bacteria
Description: partial 16S ribosomal RNA
Rfam family: Bacterial small subunit ribosomal RNA
Source: RNAcentral
AUUGAACGCUAGCGGGAUGCCUUACACAUGCAAGUAGAACGGAGUGGCGAACGGGUGAGUAAUGUAUCGGAACGUGCCCAGUAGAGGGGGAUAACUACGCGAAAGCGUAGCUAAUACCGCAUACUAUUGGAGCGGCUGAUAUCGGAUUAGCUAGUUGGUGGGGUAACGGCUCACCAAGGCGACGAUCCGUAGCUGGUUUGAGAGGACGAUCAGCCAAACUGGGACUGAGAAACGGCCCAGACUCUUAGGGGAGGCAGCAGUGGGGAAUUUGGGACAAUGGGGGAAACCCUGAUCCAGCAAUCCCGCGUGUGCGAUGAAGGCCUGCGGGUUGUAAAGCACUUUUGGCAGGAAAGCGGUACCUGCAGAAUAAGCACCGGCUAACUACGUGCCAGCAGCCGCGGUAAUUC